ACACAACUCCUCUAAAAGACCACUCAGUGGUUAAAAUAAUGUAUAAUAAUAAGACAAUAAAAUAAAUGUUUUGUUAUAUAUCAAGGGGAAAUGUUACCAAGUAUCAAAGUUGCAUAAUACAGUAUGCCAAAACAGUUUUCCAAAAUGGAUAAUACAAUAUAAACAGGUAAGGAUCAGACAUGCACAAACAAUCUCCAAUCUGAAUUCAAUGUGAGUAUAGUAGUUGAAUCAUUCUGUGAAAAAUAAAUAAGCUACUUAAGAUUGAAACACACACAAGU
Notothenia coriiceps (black rockcod) is the source of this 278-nucleotide long non-coding RNA. RefSeq lists it as uncharacterized. The transcript is spliced from 2 exons. NCBI's taxonomy places the organism in Eukaryota, Metazoa, Chordata, Actinopteri, Perciformes, Nototheniidae. The record is from RefSeq and is a predicted model, not a curated record.